GCACGCGCUCUGUUCAGCUCCGGGUGGCGGCCGCCGGAGUUGACGUUAGCCAUGGAAACCGAGAACUGGCCCGGGCGGGGCCGCGGUCAGCUCGUUGUUCGGCCGCCGCAGCUUUUCUGCCUCCGCAUUCGGGCAAUAACCAACCUCCCGGCGGGAGCGCCCAGCCCGGGUUUACCUGCAAAAAUGCGGUCCCCGGGAUGCCUUCGCGUCUUCCCUUCCCUCGGGUGACUUGAGGUUUAUGGUAAAUAUGCCAGCUCUAGAACAAAUGAAUCAGAUUUUACACAUCUUGUUUGUAUUUUUACCCUUUCUGUGGGCACUUGGGACUCUGCCCCCACCCGAUGCACUUUUCUUAUGGGCAAUGGAGCAGGUUUUAGAGUUCGGCCUUGGAGGCUCAUCUAUGUCAACCCACUUACGGUAUUUAUUUUUAAAUAUUGAUGUUGUAUGUAACAUUCUUAAAGAACAUUUUUCUUUUCAAGUAAAUCUUUUUUUCUUUUUUUUCUGUACAGGUUAUUA
This 513-nucleotide small RNA is filed under the name Pongo abelii (Sumatran orangutan). Its description in RNAcentral is "retained intron". Lineage: Eukaryota; Metazoa; Chordata; Mammalia; Primates; Hominidae. The record is from RNAcentral.